GCCCUGGUAGCUCAACGGAUAGAGCGACGGUCUACGAAGCCGGUGCGUGCAGGUUCGAAUCCUGCUCGGGGCA
Molecule: transfer RNA, 73 nt
Filed under: Dactylosporangium vinaceum subsp. matsuzakiense
Lineage: Bacteria; Bacillati; Actinomycetota; Actinomycetes; Micromonosporales; Micromonosporaceae
Also listed under: 1 other name
Description: Dactylosporangium matsuzakiense tRNA
Rfam family: tRNA
About the family: Transfer RNA (tRNA) molecules are approximately 80 nucleotides in length. Their secondary structure includes four short double-helical elements and three loops (D, anti-codon, and T loops).
Source: Rfam by way of RNAcentral